RNAcentral lists this ribosomal RNA (489 nucleotides) under uncultured bacterium. RNAcentral's name for it is "partial 16S ribosomal RNA". It matches the Rfam family "Bacterial small subunit ribosomal RNA", at positions 28 to 507 of the family's 1533-position model. The record is from RNAcentral.
GAUGAACGCUAGCGGGAGGCCUAACACAUGCAAGCCGAGCGGGAUUUGUUGGUUAGCUUGCUAACUAACAAUGAGAGCGGCGUACGGGUGCGUAGCACGUGUGCAACCUGCCUUUAUCUGGGGGAUAGCCUUUCGAAAGGAAGAUUAAUACCCCAUAACAUAUUGAUUGGCAUCAGUUAAUAUUGAAAGCUCCGGCGGAUAGAGAUGGGCACGCGUAAGAUUAGCUAGUUGGUGAGGUAACGGCUCACCAAGGCUGCGAUCUUUAGGGGGCCUGAGAGGGUGAUCCCCCACACUGGUACGGAGACACGGACCAGACUCCUACGGGAGGCAGCAGUGAGGAAUAGUGGACAAUGGGUGAGAGCCUGAUCCAGCCAUCCCGCGUGAAGGACUAAGGACCUAUGGUUUGUAAACUUCUUUUAUACAGGGAUAAACCUACUCUCGUGAGGGUAGCUGAAGGUACUGUAUGAAUAAGCACCGGCUAACUCCGUG